Non-coding RNA from Triticum aestivum (bread wheat), 125 nucleotides. The record is from Rfam. Lineage: Eukaryota; Viridiplantae; Streptophyta; Magnoliopsida; Poales; Poaceae.
AAGAUACUCCAUCCAUCCGAAAAUACUUAUCAAAGAAAUGGAUGAAUCUAGACGUAUUUUAGUUAUAGAUGCAUCCAAUUUUAUCCAUCUCUCUAACAAGUAUUUUGGGACGGAGGGAGUACUUC